CGUAGGGUGCGAGCGUUAAUCGGAAUUACUGGGCGUAAAGCGUGCGCAGGCGGUUUAGUAAGACAGGCGUGAAAUCCCCGGGCUCAACCUGGGAACUGCGCUUGUGACUGCUAAGCUAGAGUACGGCAGAGGGGGGUGGAAUUCCACGUGUAGCAGUGAAAUGCGUAGAGAUGUGGAGGAACACCAAUGGCGAAGGCAGCCCCCUGGGUCGAUACUGACGCUCAUGCACGAAAGCGUGGGUAGCAAACAGGAUUAGAUACCCUGGUAGUCCACGCCCUAAACGAUGUCCACUAGGUGUUGGGAGGGUAAAACCUUUUAGUACCGGAGCUAACGCGUGAAGUUGACCGCCUGGGGAGUACGGCCGCAAGGUUA
Molecule: ribosomal RNA, 372 nt
Filed under: uncultured organism
Description: bacterial SSU rRNA
Rfam family: Bacterial small subunit ribosomal RNA
Source: RNAcentral